UAACAAAGUGUUUCUAGAGGAACACGUGGAAGGAUCAUUGUCG
Molecule: ribosomal RNA, 43 nt
Filed under: Ophiopogon szechuanensis
Lineage: Eukaryota; Viridiplantae; Streptophyta; Magnoliopsida; Asparagales; Asparagaceae
Description: partial 18S ribosomal RNA
Source: RNAcentral